CGACCGGCCACACUGGGACUGAGACACGGCCCAGACUCCUACGGGAGGCAGCAGUGGGGAAUAUUGCGCAAUGGGCGAAAGCCUGACGCAGCGACGCCGCGUGGGGGAUGAAGGCCUUCGGGUUGUAAACCCCUUUCAGCAGGGACGAAGCGAAAGCGACGGUACCUGCAGAAGAAGCGCCGGCUAACUACGUGCCAGCAGCCGCGGUAACACGUAGGGCGCAAGCGUUGUCCGGAAUUAUUGGGCGUAAAGAGCUCGUAGGCGGUCUGUUGCGUCCGCUGUGAAAUCUCGGGGCUUAACCCCGAGCCUGCAGUGGAUACGGGCAGACUAGAGGUAGGUAGGGGAGAAUGGAAUUCCCGGUGUAGCGGUGAAAUGCGCAGAUAUCGGGAGGAACACCGGUGGCGAAGGCGGUUCUCUGGGCCUUACUGACGCUGAGGAGCGAAAGCGUGGGGAGCGAACAGGAUUAGAUACCCUGGUAGUCCACGCUGUAAACGUUGGGCGCUAGGUGUGGGAUCCUUCCACGGAUUCCGUGCCGCAGCUAACGCAUUAAGCGCCCCGCCUGGGGAGUACGGCCGCAAGGCUAAAAC
This 587-nucleotide ribosomal RNA is filed under the name uncultured actinomycete. Its description in RNAcentral is "bacterial SSU rRNA". It matches the Rfam family "Bacterial small subunit ribosomal RNA", at positions 301 to 900 of the family's 1533-position model. Lineage: Bacteria; Bacillati; Actinomycetota; Actinomycetes; Actinomycetales. The record is from RNAcentral.